RNAcentral lists this long non-coding RNA (254 nucleotides) under Mytilus galloprovincialis (Mediterranean mussel). The record is from RNAcentral. Lineage: Eukaryota; Metazoa; Mollusca; Bivalvia; Mytilida; Mytilidae.
UCCUGGAUCCGCCCCUGAGUCUAGUAUACUAACUGCUUCAUAAUAUUAAAUAUUAGAGUGGGGUGCUCAUUUUCGCCAUAUCUUUCCAUGUUUUCUUCAGUUUAUGUUCAGGUCUUUAUGUUUUUGAAGUGAACUGAUAUUUCUAUAUGAAGAUAACUUCAAAUGCAAAUUAUUCUAAGCUUGAAAACGUGUUUGUUUUGAGAAAAAUCAUCUGAAAAGUGUGAUUAAAGGGUGUUUGAAAUUUCCUGAUUUUU